This is a non-coding RNA of Paramuricea clavata, 227 nucleotides long. The record is from the annotation of a GenBank genome assembly. NCBI's taxonomy places the organism in Eukaryota, Metazoa, Cnidaria, Anthozoa, Malacalcyonacea, Plexauridae.
CCUUGCUAUAAUUCUUACUUCACAGUUGCUACAUAUAGUAUAAUCUUGUCAAAAAAAUACGCACGAGUGACCACGAAUAACAAGUGAUAUUUUCAUGUUUAACGAAAACCACGCGAUGUUUCAGCACAAUAUUGCGUUACUUGAAGUUUCCCAUUAACUUAAAGCGGUUCUACGUUGUUACAAAACGUUUUACAUCAGGGACGUACGACAAGAACUAAAAACAAUGA